Molecule: unclassified non-coding RNA, 324 nt
Filed under: Hevea brasiliensis (rubber tree)
Lineage: Eukaryota; Viridiplantae; Streptophyta; Magnoliopsida; Malpighiales; Euphorbiaceae
Source: RNAcentral
AGUAAUACUAUAUUUCAUGAGACGCCCAGCUGAGACAGUUCCUUCUGUACGUGACAUUGAGAGUUCAUCUCCAGAAUCAGAUAUCUAUUUUCAUCCUAGGGAGGGAUUCACUUUACAAGAUCUGGUUGAGGCCACAAACAAUUUUCAUGAUAGUUAUGUUGUAGGAAGAGGAGCUUGUGGAACAGUCUACAAGGCAGUUGUGCAUACCGGACAAACCAUUGCAGUGAAAAGACUAGCAUCUAACAAAGAGGGGAGCAACAUAGAGAACAGUUUUCAGGCUGAGAUUUUGACUCUUGGAAAGAUCAGGCACCGGAACAUUGUGAA